GACAGAGGCCCCAAGCGUUAGGCGGAAUCACUGGGCUUAAAGGGCGCGUAGGCGGCGGCUCAAGUCGGGGGUGAAAUCCUCUCGCUUAACGAGAGAAUUGCUUUCGAUACUGGGUCGCUGGAGGGAGAUAGGGGUGCGCGGAACUUCCGGUGGAGCGGUGAAAUGCGUAGAUAUCGGAAGGAACGCCGGUGGCGAAAGCGGCGCACUGGAUCUCUUCUGACGCUGAGGCGCGAAAGCCAGGGGAGCAAACGGG
Molecule: ribosomal RNA, 253 nt
Filed under: uncultured bacterium
Lineage: Bacteria
Description: partial 16S ribosomal RNA
Rfam family: Bacterial small subunit ribosomal RNA
Source: RNAcentral